GAUGACUGGGGUGAAGUCGUAACAAGGUAGCCGUAUCGGAAGGUGCGGCUGGAUCACCUCCUUUCUAAGGAA
RNAcentral lists this ribosomal RNA (72 nucleotides) under Blautia faecis. Its description in RNAcentral is "partial 16S ribosomal RNA". The stretch from base 1 to 64 matches the Rfam family "Bacterial small subunit ribosomal RNA", at positions 1470 to 1533 of the family's 1533-position model. The record is from RNAcentral. Lineage: Bacteria; Bacillati; Bacillota; Clostridia; Lachnospirales; Lachnospiraceae.